CCAGUUUGGCAUGGACAACCUGUUUUUCAGCUGCUUUUAAAUGUUUCUCUCUGCUUCUCCUAGGACCUCAUUACAUUAUCUUGGGGAUUUGUCAUGUAUCAUGGUGAAUUCAUGGGAUCCAAGCGGUGGAUGUGGAGAACCCAUCACUCCACACCCUGCAUCAUGCAACUUACCUGGGAUCCCAUCCACCACCCAGCUUCCCUCCAUUGUUCUGAAUGCAGCACCAGAAGCUUCCCAUGUUGCAUGACAUAUGCUGCUUGCUCUUCCCUUUUCCAAUGGAACCCGGCUGGAAGUGCACAUGCAUCAUGUAAUGGGCUCCACCUCAAAAGGGUAAACAAGCAGCAUACAACGGGCAAAGUAGCUCAUCUGAUGAAAUGAUUACUGUCAGAUAGAAAUCCCUCAACAUUGAAUGUGAAAAUACAGUUUUGAUGGACAUGUGAUAACACCUGGGGAAUGACUGAGAAAGUCAUGAUGAAAUAGUUAAGGGGCAUGUAGUAAUGUCUGAGUCAUAAUCAUGUAAGGUUUAUGACAAGGGUUUGCAUCAGUCAUUUGUCACUUACUGAUGACAAGUCAGCAGGUGGUUAUAAAAGAUAAAUGAAAUGCUCAAUCUUUCUCUUCUUGUGUGAAUCUUCUUGUGAAUAUCUCUCUGUGGUGACUCUGAGGUUUGUUUACAGUUAUUGAAAAAAUACUUUAGGCUAUGUCUUAGAUGAGGAGGACAGAAUGGAAUGAAGACAAGAAGGAAUAGCUCAAGUUGCUAUUAAUCAAAUGAGAAUACUGAAGCACCAUCAACAUUUUGAAAAUUCUACAGAGGAUGAGACUGCUGAUUUGAUCCAUCAAUCAGCUGUGAUUCACACAGACAAGAAAAUAUUGCUCUUUCACCUCCUAUGCUGACAAGAAGAGCUAGAAAGGUGGUGACACAAUAAAACAAUUUUCUGAA
Anolis carolinensis (green anole) is the source of this 937-nucleotide long non-coding RNA. RefSeq lists it as uncharacterized. The record is from RefSeq and is a predicted model, not a curated record. Lineage: Eukaryota; Metazoa; Chordata; Lepidosauria; Squamata; Anolidae. The transcript has 2 exons.